RNAcentral lists this ribosomal RNA (440 nucleotides) under uncultured bacterium. RNAcentral describes it as "partial 16S ribosomal RNA". It matches the Rfam family "Bacterial small subunit ribosomal RNA", at positions 338 to 795 of the family's 1533-position model. The record is from RNAcentral.
CCUACGGGAGGCAGCAGUGGGGAAUAUUGCACAAUGGGGGAAACCCUGAUGCAGCGACGCCGCGUGAGUGAAGAAGUAAUUCGUUACGUAAAGCUCUAUCAGCGGGGAAGAAAGUGAUGGUACCUGAGUACGAAGCGCCGGCUAACUACGUGCCAGCAGCCGCGGUAAGACGUAGGGGGCAAGGGUGAUCCGGAUUUACUGGUUGUAAAGGUAGCGUAGACGGUGCGCCAAGUCGGGAGUGAAAUGCCGCGGCUUAACUGCGGAACUGCUAUGGAAACUGGCGCACUAGAGUGCGGGAGUGGUAAGCAGAAUUCCUAGUGUAGAGGUGAAAUGCGUAGAUAUUAGGAGGAACACCGGUGGCGAAGGCGGCCUCCUGGACCGUGACUGACGCUGAGGCUCGAAAGCGUGGGGAGCAAACAGGAUUAGAUACCCCAGUAGUC